GACGAACGCUGGCGGCGUGCCUAACACAUGCAAGUCGAACGGAUAGGCCCUGCUUUUGUGGGGUGCUCGAGUGGCGAACGGGUGUGUAACACGUGAGUAACCUGCCCCUGACUUUGGGAUAACUUCAGGAAACUGGGGCUAAUACCGGAUAGGAGCUCCUGCUGCAUGGGGGGGUUUGGAAAGUUUCGGCGGUUGGGGCUGGACUCGCGGCUUAUCAGCUUGUUGGUGGGGUAGUGGCUUACCAAGGCUUUGACGGGUAGCCGGCCUGAGAGGGGGAACGGCCACAUUGGGACUGAGAUACGGCCCAGUCUCCUACGGGAGGCAGCAGUGGGGAGUAUUGCACAAUGGGCGGAAGCCUGAUGCGGCAGCGCCGCGUGCGGGAUGACGGCCUUCGGGUUGUAAACCGCUUUCGCCUGUGACGAAGCGUGAGUGACGGUAAUGGGUAAAGAAGCACCGGCUAACUACGUG
Molecule: ribosomal RNA, 468 nt
Filed under: uncultured bacterium
Lineage: Bacteria
Description: partial 16S ribosomal RNA
Rfam family: Bacterial small subunit ribosomal RNA
Source: RNAcentral